AAGACUAUAGACCUGCGGAGUACCUGCGGAGGGAUCAUUAUUGAAUUGACUCGAUAGGUUUGUAGCUGGCCCUCACCGAGGGCAUGUGCACAGCCUGUCUUGACUUUAUUCAUCCACCUGUGCACCUCUUGUAGUCUUUUUGGGGCUGAUGAAUAGUCAACUCAGUCACAAGGCUGGAUGUGAGGACUGGUUAAUCGUCUCUCGGUUGACCUUUCUUCUGUGCUGUGAAGUCUCCCUCAG
RNAcentral lists this unclassified non-coding RNA (240 nucleotides) under soil metagenome. Its description in RNAcentral is "partial contains 5.8S ribosomal RNA, internal transcribed spacer 2, and large subunit ribosomal RNA". The record is from RNAcentral.